AGGGGGCGUCCGGGCAGCUCCGAGGGCUUGCGCUCCGGCCCGCGGUUCGAGAUCGGGGUCCCGUGGCGCCGCUAGCGGGCUCGGGGCGGGGAGCGUCCUCUCCCCCGCCGGGGCCUUUCCCUCCCCCGCUGCGAGUGGGUGGAGAAACGGGGGUGCUUGGGCAGUGGGCGCGCCAAGUGGAGUGGCUGCUCCCCUAGGAUUUCAGCCGGGUCUGGGGAUCCUGGUUUCCUGGAGGUGCCCUGCCCGUGCCCCGCCGGCCUGGGGUGGGGGCAGGGGUCGCCAUCGCGGGGACGGUUCGGGAAAAGGCUGAGCUUGGAUUCGAAGACUUUUGGAGAGGGACCGGGACCCGGGCCAGCGGCGGGGGGCGGGGGAGGAGGGCCGCGAGGGCCCGCCCCCACCUCGCUCCGGGACUCGGAGUAAACAGGGACACCGCGGGGACACGCCGCAGCUUGUCCGCCCUCCCGGGGCCUGGGGAUGGAGCCCACCUUCGUCCCCGCCUCGCCCUGCCCGCCUGGCACCGAGCGCGGGAGGGGCAGGCGCUGGUUUGGAGGGAGGCUGUCCUUGCAGAAAGCGGAGCAACACUGAGGACUUGUCCCCUGAUGGCGGUGCGAGCCACGGAAGAAUCCAGAGGGAACCAGACCUUUUCCCCAAACCAGAGCUCCCUCUGGGCUGGGUUUGCUCCAGGCCACGGCCACCUACCUUUCGUCUUCCAGGCUAGAAAUCUCAGACGCUGCCAAUUCUGUCUAAUCUUGCAAGUCUGUGCUCAAGGUCUGUCAUUUUUUCCUUUGAAAUAAAGCUCCAAUUUCCUCUGCCAGAGAUUCCUCA
Molecule: long non-coding RNA, 825 nt
Organism: Myotis daubentonii (Daubenton's bat)
Lineage: Eukaryota; Metazoa; Chordata; Mammalia; Chiroptera; Vespertilionidae
Exons: 2
Source: RefSeq, a predicted model, not a curated record